Molecule: ribosomal RNA, 468 nt
Filed under: Triticum aestivum (bread wheat)
Lineage: Eukaryota; Viridiplantae; Streptophyta; Magnoliopsida; Poales; Poaceae
Description: partial small subunit ribosomal RNA
Source: RNAcentral
AUGUGGUCCUAUCUUUGUCAGCGCUAUCAGCCCUCUGGCGAUGCUUUAUACCUCUCUGUGGUGCGUCAGGAGCAUGCUCUUCAGCAGGGUGACUCAUCUGUUGAUGAGUUCUAUUCACAGUGCUCUGCCAUCUGGCGUCAGCUUGACUCACUGCGGACAGUUGUUUGUGGCACUUGCCGUUGUUGUCAGACUACGCGGUCUGACUUGGAGUUUCAGAGGGUUCAUGAGUUCUUAUCUCGUCUCCGCUCUGAGUUUGAGCCCAGGCGUGCUCACCUGCUUGCUCGUGGUCGUGUUCCUAUCUCGGAGGUGCUUGCCGAGCUUCGUGCUGAGGAGAAACGCCUUCGCUCUGCUGGGUUGCUUCUGGUUCCGUCAGUGUUGGCUGCCCGGGCUCCUGUGUCGUCUGCUCUCCUCACUGCUCCGCCGUUCCUGCCUACUCCUCCAGGGGGGGAGCCGUCCUUCUUAUGCUAA